GAUGAACGCUGGCGGCGUGCCUAAUACAUGCAAGUCGAGCGAACAGACGAGGAGCUUGCUCCUCUGACGUUAGCGGCGGACGGGUGAGUAACACGUGGAUAACCUACCUAUAAGACUGGGAUAACUUCGGGAAACCGGAGCUAAUACCGGAUAAUAUAUUGAACCGCAUGGUUCAAUAGUGAAAGACGGUUUUGCUGUCACUUAUAGAUGGAUCCGCGCCGCAUUAGCUAGUUGGUAGGGUAACGGCUUACCAAGGCGACGAUGCGUAGCCGACCUGAGAGGGUGAUCGGCCACACUGGAACUGAGACACGGUCCAGACUCCUACGGGAGGCAGCAGUAGGGAAUCUUCCGCAAUGGGCGAAAGCCUGACGGAGCAAAGCCGCGUGAGUGAUGAAGGUCUUCGGAUCGUAAAACUCUGUUAUUAGGGAAGAACAAAUGUGUAAGUAACUAUGCACGUCUUGACGGUACCUAAUCAGAAAGCCACGGCUAACUACGUG
RNAcentral lists this ribosomal RNA (497 nucleotides) under uncultured bacterium. RNAcentral's name for it is "partial 16S ribosomal RNA". It matches the Rfam family "Bacterial small subunit ribosomal RNA", at positions 28 to 507 of the family's 1533-position model. The record is from RNAcentral.